AUAACGUACCCAUAUUUAUUCUGUUUCUGCUUCAAUUGACAGGCUGCAAGAGGCAGAAAAAUUGUGUUGAGUUGAUUUCAUUGUGAAAAGUUGCUUAAUUUUUUUCAAUCAAGAAAUUUCAUCGGGACGGAUCGUUGAUUUAUUCGUCUACACAAGAUUGCGAGCUCUUCAGCCACUUACUUAAGGAUAUCUCAAAUCAAGACAAUGAACAUCUGCAUAAACUUGCGCUGCCAUUUUCUUUCAUGAAAAGGGAAAAAAAAUGAAUAACGAGAAAAAUCGAAACGAUUCCAAAAAUACUGGAAAGAAGUAUAUCAGCAAGAAUGAUCCACAGUUUUCGAAUGAGAGAGAAUGCACAGUCAACACUUCUUGGAGUGUGGGAAAAGGUUCCCAACAGUUGAUGUGGAAUGUAUCUACAAAGAACAAUAUGACCACAAUGCAGAGAAAUUCGUUGCACAAACGUCUAUCAAGCUCGCAUAAUUCGUUGAACGAUUCAGCAGCCAAGAUAGUCGAUGAUUCAAUGUUCAUUACUCAAGCAAUGUCACACGACACUCUGGACGACAACAAAAUAUUAGAUUUUUAUAACGUUCCCCUUGAUUCUGAUAUAUAUUCAGUUCCCAUAGACUUCAUUACCAAUCAAUACAAUAUUGAUUCAGUACUACAUAAGAAAAAAAUGAACAGAAAAGGAACCUGCCACAAAAAUGAGCUCAAUUUGAAGAGAAGGCAAACAUCUCCAUUGCGGAAUGCUGAGAGCAAAUAUCCCUCAACAGAUGGGAGAAAACAAGGAACGGCAAUAGAUCUCGAAAAUGAGCAGAUCAAGUCUACAAUAUUCAACAAAUGCAGUGAAUGUAAUAGCAAGAAAAACAACUUUUCCUUCAAUUUCAAACAGAAGUUGUGCAACAUCUUUCGCAUAAGCAAACAACAUCAAUAUUUGAGGUGUAAAAAAACAAUACUUGAAGGCCAUACUAUGCAAAAUAGCUGUAAUGCGAAAUCGAAAUGUAUAAAUGAUUAUUAUAAAAAACUUCCUGUUCCAACACGUAAGCUGCCACCAUUACCAAUGACAGCGGACAAACGAUUAUCAAGUGGCGUUUCCUUGAAUGAAAUUAUGCACACGAUAAAAAGUUCGAAGCAGGAUGACAAGUCUCAUAUAAUGGAAUUUACAGCUAGUAUUGACAAAGUCAAAGAGCGUGGAUGGUACUGGGGACCUAUUUCUUCUGAAGGUGCGGAGAAAAUUUUGUCUAAUGAGCCGGAUGGCAGUUUUCUAGUACGAGAUAGUUCUGAUGAUCACUACAUCUUUUCCCUAACAUUCAAAUUGAAUGGUUUCGUUCGUCAUGUGAGAAUUGAUCAGGAUCAAGUUCGACCUACAAAAAACUUUUCAGAACUCUUAUCCAUCAAAUUUGGAGCCCUGAAAAGAGCCGUUGAUUAUAUGCUAAGCUAAUAGCACGAUCUCCUCGGAUACGAUGGGCCAGCUGGAUGUCCUUGGGCAUGAUGUGACGCGUUUUGCAUGGAUAGCACACAAAUUGGUAUCUUCGAAUAGGCCUCCUGCAGUGUCAUAACCGCGGAACUUUGGAAGCGCAAGUCGGUUUUGAAGUCCUGAGCAAUUCCACGAAUCAAAUGCUGCAAAGGGAGAUUGCGGAUCAGCAAUUCGGUCGACUUCUGAUAGCGACGAAAUUCACGCAAAGUUCCCGGUCGAUAGCGAUGUGGUCACACUCCCCGCGGCUGGUGCACUUAUCCGAGCUGCUUUCGUGGUGCCUUACCACCGAAAGACUAACGAGCUGUGUGCUUGGUCCCACACAAACGAGUCCUCACGGUGCGAGAGUAGAGUAAGAAAUGAACGAAAGCAAAGGAAGCGUCAUUUUAUAAACCAUAAAAGUAUAAAAUGUAAAUCCCACCCUUAUUAUAUUCGUAGCUUACUCUGAGAGAGAAACGAAUAACAUCGAAUUCGGCCUGCAAAAACGAAAUUAAUUGGAAGAGUACAGCAUAAUGCAUAGACGAGCCUUCUCAUUUGGGUCCUGUGCAAAAUUCAAAUCAUGCACUAUAAUGGAGUUUAUUGAAAAUGCAGUCGAACACUCGCGAAGCGGUAGAUAUCUUUUCUUCUUACAUCGGCGACCAGAACAUGGC
This is an RNA transcript of Toxorhynchites rutilus septentrionalis, 2118 nucleotides long. RefSeq lists it as uncharacterized. The record is from RefSeq and is a predicted model, not a curated record. The transcript is spliced from 8 exons. Lineage: Eukaryota; Metazoa; Arthropoda; Insecta; Diptera; Culicidae.